GACGAACGCUGGCGGCGUGCCUAAUACAUGCAAGUCGAACGAACUCUGGUAUUGAUUGGUGCUUGCAUCAUGAUUUACAUUUGAGUGAGUGGCGAACUGGUGAGUAACACGUGGGAAACCUGCCCAGAAGCGGGGGAUAACACCUGGAAACAGAUGCUAAUACCGCAUAACAACUUGGACCGCAUGGUCCGAGUUUGAAAGAUGGCUUCGGCUAUCACUUUUGGAUGGUCCCGCGGCGUAUUAGCUAGAUGGUGGGGUAACGGCUCACCAUGGCAAUGAUACGUAGCCGACCUGAGAGGGUAAUCGGCCACAUUGGGACUGAGACACGGCCCAAACUCCUACGGGAGGCAGCAGUAGGGAAUCUUCCACAAUGGACGAAAGUCUGAUGGAGCAACGCCGCGUGAGUGAAGAAGGGUUUCGGCUCGUAAAACUCUGUUGUUAAAGAAGAACAUAUCUGAGAGUAACUGUUCAGGUAUUGACGGUAUUUAACCAGAAAGCCACGGCUAACUACGUGCCAGCAGUCGCGGUAAUACGUAGGUGGCAAGCGUUGUCCGGAUUUAUUGGGCGUAAAGCGAGCGCAGGCGGUUUUUUAAGUCUGAUGUGAAAGCCUUCGGCUCAACCGAAGAAGUGCAUCGGAAACUGGGAAACUUGAGUGCAGAAGAGGACAGUGGAACUCCAUGUGUAGCGGUGAAAUGCGUAGAUAUAUGGAAGAACACCAGUGGCGAAGGCGGCUGUCUGGUCUGUAACUGACGCUGAGGCUCGAAAGUAUGGGUAGCAAACAGGAUUAGAUACCCUGGUAGUCCAUACCGUAAACGAUGAAUGCUAAGUGUUGGAGGGUUUCCGCCCUUCAGUGCUGCAGCUAACGCAUUAAGCAUUCCGCCUGGGGAGUACGGCCGCAAGGCUGAAACUCAAAGGAAUUGACGGAGGCCCGCACAAGCGGUGGAGCAUGUGGUUUAAUUCGAAGCUACGCGAAGAACCUUACCAGGUCUUGACAUACUAUGCAAAUCUAAGAGAUUAGACGUUCCCUUCGGGGACAUGGAUACAGGUGGUGCAUGGUUGUCGUCAGCUCGUGUCGUGAGAUGUUGGGUUAAGUCCCGCAACGAGCGCAACCCUUAUUAUCAGUUGCCAGCAUUAAGUUGGGCACUCUGGUGAGACUGCCGGUGACAAACCGGAGGAAGGUGGGGAUGACGUCAAAUCAUCAUGCCCCUUAUGACCUGGGCUACACACGUGCUACAAUGGAUGGUACAACGAGUUGCGAACUCGCGAGAGUAAGCUAAUCUCUUAAAGCCAUUCUCAGUUCGGAUUGUAGGCUGCAACUCGCCUACAUGAAGUCGGAAUCGCUAGUAAUCGCGGAUCAGCAUGCCGCGGUGAAUACGUUCCCGGGCCUUGUACACACCGCCCGUCACACCAUGAGAGUUUGUAACACCCAAAGUCGGUGGGGUAACCUUUUAGGAACCAGCCGCCUAAGGUGGGACAGAUGAUUAGGGUG
This 1489-nucleotide ribosomal RNA is filed under the name Lactiplantibacillus plantarum. RNAcentral describes it as "bacterial SSU rRNA". It matches the Rfam family "Bacterial small subunit ribosomal RNA". The record is from RNAcentral. Lineage: Bacteria; Bacillati; Bacillota; Bacilli; Lactobacillales; Lactobacillaceae.